This 253-nucleotide ribosomal RNA is filed under the name uncultured bacterium. RNAcentral's name for it is "partial 16S ribosomal RNA". It matches the Rfam family "Bacterial small subunit ribosomal RNA", at positions 524 to 776 of the family's 1533-position model. The record is from RNAcentral.
UACGGGGGGGGCAAGCGUUGUUCGGAGUUACUGGGCGUAAAGGGCUCGUAGGUGGCCAACUAAGUCAGACGUGAAAUCCCUCGGCUUAACCGGGGAACUGCGUCUGAUACUGGAUGGCUUGAGUUUGGGAGAGGGACGCGGAAUUCCAGGUGUAGCGGUGAAAUGCGUAGAUAUCUGGAGGAACACCGGUGGCGAAGGCGGCGUCCUGGACCAAUACUGACACUGAGGAGCGAAAGCCAGGGGAGCAAACGGG